RNAcentral lists this ribosomal RNA (498 nucleotides) under uncultured bacterium. RNAcentral describes it as "partial 16S ribosomal RNA". It matches the Rfam family "Bacterial small subunit ribosomal RNA", at positions 30 to 523 of the family's 1533-position model. The record is from RNAcentral.
AUUGAACGCUGGCGGCAUGCCUUACACAUGCAAGUCGAACGGUAACAGGUCUUCGGAUGCUGACGAGUGGCGAACGGGUGAGUAAUACAUCGGAACGUGCCUAGUAGUGGGGGAUAACUACUCGAAAGAGUGGCUAAUACCGCAUGAGAUCUACGGAUGAAAGCAGGGGAUCGCAAGACCUUGUGCUACUAGAGCGGCCGAUGGCAGUUUAGGUAGUUGGUGGGAUAAAAGCUUACCAAGCCGACGAUCUGUAGCUGGUCUGAGAGGACGAUCAGCCACACUGGGACUGAGACACGGCCCAGACUCCUACGGGAGGCAGCAGUGGGGAAUUUUGGACAAUGGGCGCAAGCCUGAUCCAGCAAUGCCGCGUGCAGGAUGAAGGCCUUCGGGUUGUAAACUGCUUUUGUACGGAACGAAAAGCCCCGGGUUAAUACCCUGGGGUCAUGACGGUACCGUAAGAAUAAGCACCGGCUAACUACGUGCCAGCCGCCGCCGUAA